This 560-nucleotide ribosomal RNA is filed under the name Fusarium solani. RNAcentral describes it as "eukaryotic LSU rRNA". The stretch from base 183 to 336 matches the Rfam family "5.8S ribosomal RNA". Lineage: Eukaryota; Fungi; Ascomycota; Sordariomycetes; Hypocreales; Nectriaceae. The record is from RNAcentral.
CCGUAGGGGUGACCUGCGGAGGGAUCAUUACCGAGUCUAAACAACUCAUCAACCCUGUGAACAUACCUAAAACGUUGCUUCGGCGGGAACAGACGGCCCUGUAACACGGGCCGCCCCCGCCAGAGGACCCCCUAACUCUGUUUGUAUUAUGUUUUUUCUGAGUAAACAAGCAAAUAAAUUAAAACUUUCAACAACGGAUCUCUUGGCUCUGGCAUCGAUGAAGAACGCAGCGAAAUGCGAUAAGUAAUGUGAAUUGCAGAAUUCAGUGAAUCAUCGAAUCUUUGAACGCACAUUGCGCCCGCCAGUAUUCUGGCGGGCAUGCCUGUUCGAGCGUCAUUACAACCCUCAGGCCCCCGGGCCUGGCGUUGGGGAUCGGCGGAAAGCCCCCUGUGGGCAUACGCCGUCCCCUAAAUACAGUGGCGGUCCCGCCGCAGCUUCCAUUGCGUAGUAGCUAACACCUCGCAACUGGAGAGCGGCGCGGCCAAGCCGUAAAACCCCCAACUUCUGAAUGUUGACCUCGAAUCAGGUAGGAAUACCCGCUGAACUUAAGCAUAUCAAAA